Molecule: long non-coding RNA, 1631 nt
Filed under: Lactuca sativa (garden lettuce)
Lineage: Eukaryota; Viridiplantae; Streptophyta; Magnoliopsida; Asterales; Asteraceae
Description: long non-coding RNA (LSAT_LNC003683)
Source: RNAcentral
UGACGUGGCGUAUUCAUCUAACGGCUAACUCUCAUCACCAAGAGUUCUACAAAGCACGAAGCAAGCAGCAUUCGGACACCGGAAACUACUCAAGCAAAUCUACUCUCAUAACGAGAAACUAUACUAGCAUACAAUGCUAAGCUCGCGCUACCAGGCAUAACCUAAACAGGCUAUCCUACUGCUGUCUACUCAAUACUAGCAUGCAAUUCUCAUAAAGCUGUAACACAUAUAGCAGGCACAUAAGGCAUCCUCCUAGAUCCUUAGUCCUAUACUAGCAUGCUGUUCUACUGAAACUGGAACAAUUAAUCAUAAUAAUAAAACUUGUAUUGGUAAUUUGGGAGUACUUACUUGAGCUCGGCUGAUCGCAUGCACCACACCCUUAUCUUGUUUAAAAAUUCUUUUCUUUCUAAGUGCUUUUCAAAAUUUCAUUCGAAAACAUUUUUCUUUUUGAAAAUCUUUUUAUCUUUCCCUUAGUUUGAGUUCAGAUGCACCCGGAGGUGUAUCCGAAUCCCUCAAACCAAGGCUCUGAUACCAACGUGUAACAACCCAAAAAUACGACCGAAAAAUUUCAAUUUUUAUCAUAACAAAAACAUGAACUCAAGUAUCACAUAACAAAAUCAUAUGUUGCGUGUUUCAAAAACCAUGAUAAAAUACUGAGAGAAAGAAAACUAUAUCACAACUGUUUCCAAAACAUAUCAAGAAACUGAAUCAACUCCCAGGACAAAAACUGAAGCUGUGGUGUGUGCGAUGCCAUCAUCCCGAGCUCUUCCCUUUGCUUGCGGAAGUACCUGAAACCAAAACUGAAACUGUAAGCACGAAGCUUAGUGAGCUCCCCCAAACUACCACAUACCACACAAAAACAUAUAAAGCACAUACUGGGCCUUGCCCACUGCAUCGGACCGAAGUCCGGGCUAACUGGGGCCUUGCCCCCUACAUCGGACCGAAGUCCGAAGCUGACUGGGACCUCCGUCCCAUACAUCGGACCGAAGUCCGAAGCUGACUGGGACCUCCGUCCCCUACAUCGGACCGAAAUCUGAAGCUGACUGAACAUAGCAUAAACAUAUCAACUAGCAUAAACACAUAAAUCCUAUCUGAGCCACGGAGGCAUCAAACAUACUAGCUACUGCAUUAAACCGAAGUCCAGAAACUACGGAUAACUGAAUGGGCCCGCAUUGUGGCCUUAGACCCGUUCCUACUGAAGGGAACUCACCUCGUGNUGACGAGGCUCAGAUAAUCCUUCAAGUAACGACUCGUCCCUACAACGGUUGGACUCAGACAAGAGCUGCGCAAUAGAGGCAAAUCCGGCACUCUGAGAUUAUUCAACCCUAAUCACAUGUGAUGUGACGUAUUCACCUAAUGGCUAACUUCCAUCCCUCGGAGUCCCACAAAGCACAAAGCAAGCAGCAUUCGGACACCGGAAACUACUCAAGCAAAUCUACUCCCAUAACGGGAAACUAUACUAGCAUACAAUGCUAAGCUCGCGCUACCAGGCAUAACCUAAACAGGCUAUCCUACUGCUGUCUACUCAAUACUAGCAUGCAAUUCUCAUAAAGCUGUAACACAUAUAGCAGGCACAUAAGGCAUCCUCCUAGAUCCUUAGUCCUAUACUAGCAUGCUGUUCUACUGAAACU